Molecule: long non-coding RNA, 1321 nt
Organism: Drosophila pseudoobscura
Lineage: Eukaryota; Metazoa; Arthropoda; Insecta; Diptera; Drosophilidae
Exons: 2
Source: RefSeq, a predicted model, not a curated record
AGUGUUGUUCGCAUACUUAUAAGUAUCGGAUAGUAUUCGGAGAGACGUCCUCAAACAAUUAUUGGACUAUGGACGAAUACGUUGGAGACCAAAUAAUGUUACACCAUGGAUUACAAAGUAAAUAUGCAUUCUCCCGUGAGCUACAGAUAGGAAUUAUGCAAAGGCUAGGCCAUAUAUUUUUCAAAAAUAAUCCAUCAAAUUAACUGUCUGAAGAAAUGGAUAAAGGUAUUCUAAUUCCAGUCAAAUUUUAAUGGGACACGAAUCGUACCAGGAAGAUUUACGUUAAUAGAUUACAUUCUCGAAAUAACCCACGAUCUUUUAACAUAUGCAAUGAAAUAAUGUACACCUCUUCCAAGAAAUGAAAAAAUGCCUACCUUCGCACCUAACAUACAAAUAUUUAUGUUUUUAUAGUACAUACAUAUGCAAGUUGGAGUAUUCGUACUCGUGCAAGUGAAACCACUACACCGCGCAACAAUAACAGCACUACACCACGCAACAAUAAUACCACUGAUCCCGCUAUUUUCACCAUAUGCUGAACAGUCCAUGUGACACUGGAUAGGAACAUUUUUUGGUAUAAAACAACUACUUGCAAAAAGAAGAACCGAGCAUUCCAGAAGUUACGAAAGGAAGCAGUAGAAGCUGCCAAGAUAGGCGCUCCUUAAAUUAGGCUCGUUACGAAUGUUAUGAUCUAAACAAAUCUACAAGCUUUUGUCUUAUGAAUUCAACAUCUUCGAACUACCAACUUCCAGCUUGAAACUCUAGUUGGCUUCACUAUCUUCCUCAACGCAAUCCAACUUUUAUUGGCAAACGAUUAAGUUUUUAUUGAGUUCUUCCAUUCUAUAACAAAAGCGUCGACCAACUUUGCUUAUCUUCUACUCUCUUCUAUGUUUUUCAAAAUAAGAGUUGCCAUUGCCAUAACUAAACAAUACAUUCUAAUGGAUUAUUUGACUGUCAGUUGCUGUCACCUUAAACUACCAAAAUAUCCGACAAUUUCAUGUUGAUUAUUAUGCUUCAUAUUUUAGCAGAAACUCAUUGUAUAAUCUGCUUAAAAAUACUGAUUUUUACUGUAUGCUUGCUGAAAAUUAUGUUUGAACCGUAUUUAUUGGAAUGCAAUAGACCGAUUAACUCAACUUAUUUAUCUACAUACAAAUCUAUCGCAACUGCACUUUGUAUUUAGGAAAUGUCCUCGCAGUUUUUUCUAUUCAUCAUAUUUAUAUAUGUAUAACCAAAAUACCCCACCAAAACCUAGAAAAAAUUGAAAAAACCAUCACACAAACAUGUUUUUUAUGUAUCGUCUGUCAAAUAAAAAACUUCAGCAUAA